UAGUCAUAUGCUUGUCUCAAAGAUUAAGCCAUGCAUGUCUAAGUAUAAACAAAUUAUACUGUGAAACUGCGAAUGGCUCAUUAAAUCAGUUAUAGUUUAUUUGAUGAUUGCUUACUACAUGGAUAACUGUGGUAAUUCUAGAGCUAAUACAUGCAUUAAAGCCCUGACUUUUGUGGGAGGGGUGUAUUUAUUAGAUUUGAAACCAAUUUUUUUGGUGAUUCAUAAUAACUGCUCGAAUCGCAUGCCCUUGUGGCGGCGAUGCUUCAUUCAAAUAUCUGCCCUAUCAACUUUUGAUGGUAGGAUAGAGGCCUACCAUGGUUUUGACGGGUAACGGGGAAUUAGGGUUCGAUUCCGGAGAGAGGGCCUGAGAAACGGCCCUCACACCUAAGGGAGGCAGCAGGCGCGCAAAUUAUCCAAUCCCGACACGGGGAGAUAGUGACAAGAAAUAACAAUACAGGGCUCUUUUGGGUCUUGUAAUUGGAAUGAGUACAAUUUAAAAACCUUAACGAGGAUCAAUU
Molecule: ribosomal RNA, 518 nt
Filed under: uncultured eukaryote
Lineage: Eukaryota
Description: SSU rRNA
Rfam family: Eukaryotic small subunit ribosomal RNA
Source: RNAcentral